CAUAGGUUAAUGAGGCGAACCGGGGGAACUGAAACAUCUAAGUACCCCGAGGAAAAGAAAUCAACCGAGAUUCCCCCAGUAGCGGCGAGCGAACGGGGAGCAGCCCAGAGCCUGAAUCAGUGUGUGUGUUAGUGGAAGCGUCUGGAAAGGCGCGCGAUACAGGGUGACAGCCCCGUACACAAAAAUGCACAUGCUGUGAGCUCGAUGAGUAGGGCGGGACACGUGGUAUCCUGUCUGAAUAUGGGGGGACCAUCCUCCAAGGCUAAAUACUCCUGACUGACCGAUAGUGAACCAGUACCGUGAGGGAAAGGCGAAAAGAACCCCGGCGAGGGGAGUGAAAAAGAACCUGAAACCGUG
RNAcentral lists this ribosomal RNA (357 nucleotides) under Escherichia coli. Its description in RNAcentral is "partial 23S ribosomal RNA". It matches the Rfam family "Bacterial large subunit ribosomal RNA", at positions 165 to 560 of the family's 2925-position model. The record is from RNAcentral. Lineage: Bacteria; Pseudomonadati; Pseudomonadota; Gammaproteobacteria; Enterobacterales; Enterobacteriaceae.